This is a long non-coding RNA of Hypanus sabinus (Atlantic stingray), 536 nucleotides long. RefSeq lists it as uncharacterized. NCBI's taxonomy places the organism in Eukaryota, Metazoa, Chordata, Chondrichthyes, Myliobatiformes, Dasyatidae. The record is from RefSeq and is a predicted model, not a curated record. The transcript has 3 exons.
CUUCCUUCAGUGGUAGAGCAAAUGAAUGGGACUACAGGAGGGAGAGAAGAAAACAGUAUCAGGUUUCCAUGGUUAGGACUGAGCAAUUCAAAUCACCCAGAUUUGCUCUUUCAUCAGUGUUGAAAGGACCCUGAGAAUCUGAGGGAAGGAAGAAUGCCCACAGAAGAUUUUUGGCACUGCCAAAAUGUGGACAAGAAAGCCAGAAGGUUCAGGACAUCAUUAUCAAGGCCAAUAGCACGCCAGACACCGCGAUCAAACUGGAAGUCUUCUCAAUUUACAGGAUGGACUGAACUGUUGCUUCAGAAAAGGCAGAAGUUGGAGGAGCAGGUUUUGUAAUAAACUCCUGGUAGUUCUCCGAUGUGGUGGUUUUGUCAAAUUCAUGUUCCCCCUGACCUUGAACACCUAAUGAUCAAAUGGCAAACAUUCUAUUUAUCAAGGCACUUCUCUUCCUGAUCACAGUUUACAUAUCAGCAACAGCCAACUAUAAUCAAGUGCUUGAGAUACAGCAGGAUUCUGUCUCCAAGCUAUUAAGCAAU